AACUUUUCCUAUGAACUCUUCUCUAAAGCAGGUCACAGGGAAAAAAAGGGUUUAAAGAGAAAUAACUUCUCCGGGCAAAAACUGAGGUUAGCGGGCCUAUCAGCUGUUUCUUCUCACUCCACCACUGCUGCUGACUGGAGGAGCAGCCUGGAAAGCAGCCGCCCUCCCGCAAACAGAGCUCCAGCUCCAAAUCUGUGAGAGUGCAUUUGGCAGAAUCUGAACAAGCAACACAAUGAUUAGAGGGUUUUUGUUUUUUUGUUUGUUUUUAACAGUUUUGUUACAAUGUUUCCACCCCAAAAUGUACCUGGAUUUGAACUAAGAAUUUGCUAGAGGGCCCUGUGCAAAACCAUGGUGGGCAGAAACUACGAAGAAGCUUGCUCAAAGUGGAACUGAAGGAAGUAGCAGAAUUAUGCAGACUGGGGACCACUGGAAUCAACAUCUGUUGACUCUGGAUACCUUGAAACCCAACCACCAUUCAGCUUCAAUUACCAAAUAUACUCCCUGGAAUCUUCACUACGAUCAAGAUAAUGAACCUAUUCAUCACCCCCAGAAGUUUCCUCGUGCCCCUUUGUAUUACUUUUGUUUGUAAUAGAUGUACAUAGAAGCAAACAAGCAAUCCAUCAACAACAACAACAACAACAAAAUCUAUUUUUCAAAAAAGCAUUUUAUGACUUUUCUGAAAUCUAAUGCACUUUUGUGCAGUUAAGAAUUUAAUAUUCUGCCUUUCAUUCUUGGCAAAACUUCUUGAAAAGGUGAUACAUUUGUCCCUGAUUUUGAUAAAAUGACUUCAAUUGCAGGAGACAGUAUUCAUGUAGGAUGCAGACGGCCCCUUAAUGUCAGUGUAGUCCAGUAGAGAACAUAAUAAGGCUCAGUACUGUGUGUACAGCUUUCAUCUUCAGCCAUGAAGCAAAAUUAAACAAGUAGUUCAUCAUUUCAGGCACUCCUUCUGCACCUUAGGUACCAAGAUGUUUUGUUCAAUUGAAUUUUUACUCAACAAAUAAACGUUUUACCAU
This 1013-nucleotide long non-coding RNA is filed under the name Homo sapiens (human). RNAcentral's name for it is "non-protein coding LINC01829:31". The record is from RNAcentral. Lineage: Eukaryota; Metazoa; Chordata; Mammalia; Primates; Hominidae.